GCCCCCGUUGUGUAGCGGCCUAGCACGCCGCCCUCUCAAGGCGGUAGCGCCGGUUCGAAUCCGGUCGGGGGUACCG
RNAcentral lists this transfer RNA (76 nucleotides) under Streptomyces sp. CNX435. Its description in RNAcentral is "tRNA-Glu". It matches the Rfam family "tRNA". From Rfam's summary of the family: Transfer RNA (tRNA) molecules are approximately 80 nucleotides in length. Lineage: Bacteria; Bacillati; Actinomycetota; Actinomycetes; Kitasatosporales; Streptomycetaceae. The record is from RNAcentral. RNAcentral also lists the same sequence under 2 other names.